GAUGAACGCUGGCGGCGUGCCUAAUACAUGCCAGUCGAGCGAACGCACGAUAAGCUUUCUUCUCUGCUGUUAGCGGCGGACGGGUGAGUAACACGUGGAUAACCUACUUAUAAUUCUUGGAUAACUUCGUGAAACCGUAUCUACUACCGCCUCAUAUUUUCAACCGCAUGGUUCAGAAGUUCUUGACGGUCUUGCUGUCACUUAUAGCUGGUUCCGCGCUGCAUUAGCUAGUUGGUAAGGUAACGGCUUACCAAGGCAACGAUGCAUAGCCGAACUGAGAGGAUGAUCGGCCACACUGGAACUGAGACACGGUCCAGACUCCUACGGGAGGCAGCAGUAGGGAAUAUUGCGCAAUGGGCGAAAGCCUGACGGAGCAACGCCGCGUGAGUGAUGAAGGUCUUCGGAUCGUAAAACUCUGUUAUUAGGGAAGAAAAGAUGUGGAAGUAAAUGUGGACAUCUUGACGGUACCUAAAGAGAAAGCAACGGCUAACUUCGUG
Molecule: ribosomal RNA, 497 nt
Filed under: uncultured bacterium
Lineage: Bacteria
Description: partial 16S ribosomal RNA
Rfam family: Bacterial small subunit ribosomal RNA
Source: RNAcentral